Molecule: long non-coding RNA, 307 nt
Organism: Camelus dromedarius (Arabian camel)
Lineage: Eukaryota; Metazoa; Chordata; Mammalia; Artiodactyla; Camelidae
Exons: 3
Source: RefSeq, a predicted model, not a curated record
UAUUAGCAGGCUCUCAGUGAAAGAAUUUCUAAAGGAUGCACUACAGAAGAAGGAGAACUCAAAAAGAAGGAAGAGAAUAUAAGAAAUAAUGCUGAAAAAAAAAAAAAAAGAAUGCUGAGCAGAAAACUUGGUAAAAACAAGGUUUACGCAGUUUGCUACAGUGAUACGAAUUUAAUGUUUGGGAAGAAUCCAUUGUAAAGAUGUUCAUCUGGCAUUGAGGAGCAAUAACGUGUCUGAAAUAUUCCACAUACACAGACACACACACAUCAACCAAAGUGAACAUGGCAUGAAUAUGGCAGAUAAUCAG